ACCCUAUCUAGAGACCUGAUUUCAGUUGUAGAUACAGAGAAGAUUAGCAUGGCCCCUGCGCAAGGAUGACGCAAAUUCAAUGGGAAUGUUGCCACUAACUU
RNAcentral lists this small nuclear RNA (101 nucleotides) under Chelonoidis abingdonii (Abingdon island giant tortoise). Lineage: Eukaryota; Metazoa; Chordata; Testudines; Testudinidae. The record is from RNAcentral.